GACGGGGGAUGCAAGUGUUAUCCGGAAUCACUGGGCGUAAAGCGUCUGCAGGUGGUUUUAUAAGUCUACUGUUAAACCUUGAGGCUCAACCUCAAAUCUGCAGUGGAAACUAGGAGACUUGAGUAUAGUAGGGGUAGAGGGAAUUUCCAGUGGAGCGGUGAAAUGCGUAGAUAUUGGAAAGAACACCGAUGGCGAAGACACUCUACUGGGCUAUUACUGACACUCAGGGACGAAAGCUAGGGGAGCAAAUGGGAUUAGAUACCCCAGUAGUCCUAGCCGUAAACGAUGGAUACUCGAUGUUGGACGUAUCGACCCGUUCAGUAUCUUAGCUAACGCGUUAAGUAUCCCGCCUGGGAAGUACGCUCGCAAGAGUGAA
RNAcentral lists this ribosomal RNA (376 nucleotides) under uncultured bacterium. RNAcentral describes it as "bacterial SSU rRNA". It matches the Rfam family "Bacterial small subunit ribosomal RNA", at positions 524 to 898 of the family's 1533-position model. The record is from RNAcentral.